UAUCGCUUCGAUCCCGGAUCUCCGGUUCGCUCCCCGAGUGUCUCCUGUUGUUGCGGACGUGGCCGCACUAGGCCUGACCUUGCGCCCUAUAACCCAACCUCCGUGAACGUGAUUCAUCCCUGCAGCUCUUAGGGCAAAGCAGAGGAUGCAAAGCCCCGCACGGCGUCAACGUGAUGCACCGUGGUGCAAGCAAAGCAACGGAGCAACGGAGCCUCACAUCCCUUAAUAUCACAGCCCUUCCAUCAGCUUUCAUUCUGCAUCCUAUGGACUCGUGGAGACUUGGGCAAACUCCAGCUCGUCUCCAUAGGAACACAGCGGGAGAGAUGGAGAUGGAGAUGGAGAUGGAGACAGAGACGGAGAUGGAAAUGGAGAUGGAGAUGGAGAUGGAGAUGGAGAUGGAGAUGGAGAUGGAGAUGGAAAUGGAGAUGGAGAUGAUGGAGAUGGAGCCUCUGAGCUGUUAGCAGGGCGAUCCGUGGGUUCAUUUGGAGCUGAGGCUGAAAGCCUGCAGUGCUUUUCAUACCCCCCCCCCCUCCUUUCCCAGCACAGGGUAUUGGGGACCCCCAGCUCAUCCCCCCCGCACGAUGGCAGUACGAACCAAGGCACCGAACGCC
Molecule: non-coding RNA, 611 nt
Organism: Coturnix japonica (Japanese quail)
Lineage: Eukaryota; Metazoa; Chordata; Aves; Galliformes; Phasianidae
Source: RefSeq, a predicted model, not a curated record